GAUGAACGCUAGCUACAGGCUUAACACAUGCAAGUCGAGGGGAAACGGCAUUAAGUGCUUGCACUUUUUGGACGUCGACCGGCGCACGGGUGAGUAACGCGUAUCCAACCUUCCCAUGACUAAGGGAUAACCUGCCGAAAGGCAGACUAAUACCUUAUGGUCUUCACUGACGGCAUCAGAUGUGAAGUAAAGAUUUAUCGGUUAUGGAUGGGGAUGCGUCUGAUUAGCUUGUUGGCGGGGUAACGGCCCACCAAGGCAACGAUCAGUAGGGGUUCUGAGAGGAAGGUCCCCCACAUUGGAACUGAGACACGGUCCAAACUCCUACGGGAGGCAGCAGUGAGGAAUAGUGGUCAAUGGGCGAGAGCCUGAACCAGCCAAGUAGCGUGCAGGAUGACGGCCCUAUGGGUGGUAAACUGCUUUUGUAUGGGGAUAAAGUCAAUCACGUGUGAUUGUUUGCAGGUACCAUACGAAUAAGGACCGGCUAAUUCCGUG
This 492-nucleotide ribosomal RNA is filed under the name uncultured bacterium. RNAcentral's name for it is "partial 16S ribosomal RNA". It matches the Rfam family "Bacterial small subunit ribosomal RNA", at positions 28 to 507 of the family's 1533-position model. The record is from RNAcentral.